Molecule: ribosomal RNA, 540 nt
Filed under: Podospora sp. HT002-R3-1
Lineage: Eukaryota; Fungi; Ascomycota; Sordariomycetes; Sordariales; Podosporaceae
Description: eukaryotic LSU rRNA
Rfam family: 5.8S ribosomal RNA (bases 185-338)
Source: RNAcentral
AGUCGUAACAAGGUUUCCGUAGGUGAACCUGCGGAAGGAUCAUUACCUAGAGUUUGUGGGCUUUGCCCACUGUCUCUUACCCAUGUCUUUUGAGUACUUACGUUUCCUCGGUGGGCUCGCCCGCCGGUUGGACAAUUUAAACCAUUUGCAGUUGCAAUCAGCGUCUGAAAAACAUAAUAGUUACAACUUUCAACAACGGAUCUCUUGGUUCUGGCAUCGAUGAAGAACGCAGCGAAAUGCGAUAAGUAGUGUGAAUUGCAGAAUUCAGUGAAUCAUCGAAUCUUUGAACGCACAUUGCGCCCCUUGGUAUUCCAUGGGGCAUGCCUGUUCGAGCGUCAUUUGUACCUUCAAGCUCUGCUUGGUGUUGGGUGUUUGUCUCGCCUUGCGCGUAGACUCGCCUUAAAACAAUUGGCAGCCGGCGUAUUGAUUUCGGAGCGCAGUACAUCUCGCGCUUUGCACUCAUAACGACGACGUCCAAAAGUACUUUUUACACUCUUGACCUCGGAUCAGGUAGGGAUACCCGCUGAACUUAAGCAUAUC